UGGCUCAGUUGGUAGAGAAUGGUGCCUGCAACACCAGGGCUGUGGGUUCAAUUCCCAC
RNAcentral lists this transfer RNA (58 nucleotides) under Salmo salar (Atlantic salmon). It matches the Rfam family "tRNA", at positions 8 to 63 of the family's 71-position model. Rfam says of the family: Transfer RNA (tRNA) molecules are approximately 80 nucleotides in length. The record is from Rfam by way of RNAcentral. Lineage: Eukaryota; Metazoa; Chordata; Actinopteri; Salmoniformes; Salmonidae.